UGCGUAGGCGGCUAUAUUAGUCGGGUGUUAAAUCCUCGGGCUCAACCCGAGAAUCGCAUUCGAAACGGUAUAGCUAGAAGAAGUGAGAGGUAAACAGAACUCUCGGUGUAGGGGUGAAAUCCGUUGAUAUCGAGGGGAAUACCAAAUGCGAAGGCAGUUUACUGGCACUUUCUUGACGCUGAGGCACGAAAGCAUGGGUAGCGAACG
This 207-nucleotide ribosomal RNA is filed under the name uncultured bacterium. Its description in RNAcentral is "partial 16S ribosomal RNA". It matches the Rfam family "Bacterial small subunit ribosomal RNA", at positions 568 to 774 of the family's 1533-position model. The record is from RNAcentral.